CCUACGGGUGGCAGCAGUGGGGAAUAUUGGACAAUGGGGGAAACCCUGAUCCAGCGACGCCGCGUGAGUGAAGAAGUAUUUCGGUACGUAAAGCUCUAUUAGCAGGACAGAAAAUGCCGUUACCUGACUAAGAAGCCCCGGCUAACUACGUGCCAGCAGCCGUGGUAAUACGUAGGGGGCAGGCGUUAUCCGGAUUUACUGGGUGUAAAGGGAGCGUAGACGGCAGCGCAAGUCUGGAGUGAAAUGCCGGGGCUCAACCCCGGAACUGCUCUGGCAACUGUGAAGCUGGAGUGCAGGAGAGGUAGGCGGAAUUCCUGGUGUAGCGGUGAAAUGCGUAGAUAUCAGGAGGAACACCGGCGGCGAAGGCAGCUUACUGGACUGGAACUGACGUUGAGGCUCGAAGGCGUGGGUAGCGAACAGGAUUAGAUACCCGGGUAGUC
This 440-nucleotide ribosomal RNA is filed under the name uncultured bacterium. Its description in RNAcentral is "partial 16S ribosomal RNA". It matches the Rfam family "Bacterial small subunit ribosomal RNA", at positions 338 to 795 of the family's 1533-position model. The record is from RNAcentral.